RNAcentral lists this ribosomal RNA (212 nucleotides) under uncultured Parcubacteria group bacterium. RNAcentral describes it as "partial 16S ribosomal RNA". It matches the Rfam family "Bacterial small subunit ribosomal RNA", at positions 1172 to 1382 of the family's 1533-position model. The record is from RNAcentral.
GGAGUGGACGACGUCAAAUCAGCAUGGCUCUUACGUCCAGGGCUACACACAUAAUACAAUGGCCGGUACAACGGGCAGCUAAACCGCGAGGUGGAGCUAAUCCUUCAAAACCGGCCCCAGUUCAGAUUGCAGGCUGCAACUCGUCUGCAUGAAGUUGGAAUCGCUAGUAAACGUGCAUCAGCCACGGCGCGUUGAAUACGUUCUCGGGUCUU